RNAcentral lists this ribosomal RNA (843 nucleotides) under uncultured Gammaproteobacteria bacterium. RNAcentral describes it as "bacterial SSU rRNA". It matches the Rfam family "Bacterial small subunit ribosomal RNA", at positions 551 to 1397 of the family's 1533-position model. The record is from RNAcentral. Lineage: Bacteria; Pseudomonadati; Pseudomonadota; Gammaproteobacteria.
UUACUGGGCGUAAAGCGUACGCAGGCGGUUAGUUAAGUCAGAUGUGAAAGCCCCGGGCUCAACCUGGGAACUGCAUUUGAAACUGGCUAACUAGAGUGCGGCAGAGGGUGGUAGAAUUUCAGGUGUAGCGGUGAAAUGCGUAGAGAUCUGAAGGAAUACCGAUGGCGAAGGCAGCCACCUGGGCCGACACUGACGCUCAUGUACGAAAGCGUGGGUAGCAAACAGGAUUAGAUACCCUGGUAGUCCACGCCGUAAACGAUGUCUACUAGCAGCUCGCCUCGUUAGAGGGGUUUUGCGCAGCUAACGCGUUAAGUAGACCGCCUGGGGAGUACGGCCGCAAGGUUAAAACUCAAAUGAAUUGACGGGGGCCCGCACAAGCGGUGGAGCAUGUGGUUUAAUUCGAUGCAACGCGAAGAACCUUACCAUCCCUUGACAUCCAGAGAAUUUUCUAGAGAUAGAUUAGUGCCUUCGGGAACUCUGAGACAGGUGCUGCAUGGCUGUCGUCAGCUCGUGUUGUGAAAUGUUGGGUUAAGUCCCGCACGAGCGCACCCUUAUCCUUAGUUGCUAGCAGUUAGGCUGAGAACUCUAAGGAGACUGCCGGUGACAAACCGGAGGAAGGUGGGGACGACGUCAAGUCAUCAUGGCCCUUACGGGAUGGGCUACACACGUGCUACAAUGGCAAGUACAAAGGGUUGCAAACUCGCGAGAGUAAGCGGAUCCCAUAAAGCUUGUCGUAGUCCGGAUUGGAGUCUGCAACUCGACUCCAUGAAGUCGGAAUCGCUAGUAAUCGUAGAUCAGAAUGCUACGGUGAAUACGUUCCCGGGCCUUGUACACACCGCCCGU